CCGUCGAUAGCUCAGUUGGUAGAGCGGUGGACUGUAGAUCCAUAGGUCGCUGGUUCAAAUCCGGCUCGACGGA
This 73-nucleotide transfer RNA is filed under the name Rhipicephalus microplus (southern cattle tick). RNAcentral's name for it is "tRNA-Tyr". It matches the Rfam family "tRNA". From Rfam's summary of the family: Transfer RNA (tRNA) molecules are approximately 80 nucleotides in length. Their secondary structure includes four short double-helical elements and three loops (D, anti-codon, and T loops). Lineage: Eukaryota; Metazoa; Arthropoda; Arachnida; Ixodida; Ixodidae. The record is from RNAcentral. RNAcentral also lists the same sequence under 6 other names.